GCGGAAGUAGCUCAGUUGGUAGAGCGUCAGCCUUCCAAGCUGAAUGUCGCCGGUUCGAACCCGGUCUUCCGCUCUA
Molecule: transfer RNA, 76 nt
Filed under: Psychroflexus gondwanensis
Lineage: Bacteria; Pseudomonadati; Bacteroidota; Flavobacteriia; Flavobacteriales; Flavobacteriaceae
Also listed under: 4 other names
Description: tRNA-Gly
Rfam family: tRNA
About the family: Transfer RNA (tRNA) molecules are approximately 80 nucleotides in length.
Source: RNAcentral